GAUGAACGCUGGCGGCGUGCCUAACACAUGCAAGUCGAACGGGGACAGAUUGAAACCUAGUGAUAUCUGUCCGAGUGGCGGACGGGUGAGUAACGCGUGGAUAACCUGCCGCAUGCAGGGGGAUACCGGCUGGAAACAGCCGCUAAUACCGCAUAAGCGCACGGUGCUGCAUGGCACGGUGUGAAAAGGAGCAAUCCGGCAUGCGAUGGAUCCGCGUCCGAUUAGCCAGUUGGCGGGGUAACGGCCCACCAAAGCGACGAUCGGUAGCCGGCCUGAGAGGGCGGACGGCCACAUUGGGACUGAGACACGGCCCAG
RNAcentral lists this ribosomal RNA (315 nucleotides) under uncultured bacterium. Its description in RNAcentral is "bacterial SSU rRNA". It matches the Rfam family "Bacterial small subunit ribosomal RNA", at positions 28 to 334 of the family's 1533-position model. The record is from RNAcentral.